This is a ribosomal RNA of Mandrillus leucophaeus (drill), 90 nucleotides long. The record is from Ensembl. NCBI's taxonomy places the organism in Eukaryota, Metazoa, Chordata, Mammalia, Primates, Cercopithecidae.
GUCUACCACCAUACCACCUGAAUGCACCGAUCUUGUCUGACCUCAGAAGCUAAGCAGAGUCAGGCCCUGUUAGUUCUUGGAUGAUGAACU